GUUCAAUUGAUCCAUAUAGUCACUGCUUUCUAACAUGCAUUUAAUAUCUACAAGUCAGCUUUUUUAUUUAAAACUAUAUGAUAAAAAUACUCUUAUUUUUUAAAAAAAUUAUGAUACUCUGUGUCCAUAUUAUGACAUUCUGCAUUCAGAAAGUCAUAAUUUUUAUCUACGGGAUGUCAUAAUAUAACGUAGAAUAUCAUAAUAUAUACAGGAUGUUAUAAUUUUUU
RNAcentral lists this long non-coding RNA (227 nucleotides) under Elaeis guineensis (African oil palm). Its description in RNAcentral is "long non-coding RNA (EGUI_LNC017044)". Lineage: Eukaryota; Viridiplantae; Streptophyta; Magnoliopsida; Arecales; Arecaceae. The record is from RNAcentral.